ACUGUCGUAAAUGUUACAUAUAUAAACAGAUCAGAGGAACCGUCGUUUCAUUUAGCAGAGGCUGAACAUAAGUGCCUGACCUAAAGAUCUGUGAAGAUGAGGCGGCUGCUUCUUUUAAUGCUUGUGGUCUCCUUGUGGCAUGUCUUUGAUACACCUCCCAUAGAGCGCAGAGCGCCCAUAGAUACAGGGCCUCCUGUUAGUAACUUUGCAGAGCAUCCUGAUGUGGACACCCCACAGCUGCUGGUGCCACAAAUACCCGAAUGACAAGUCCGGAGUGUUUACAUCAACGAGUACAGCAGAUAAGCAAAUGGACUCACAUCGCCACAUCAUCCAUGUCAUCGUGCAUCGCUGGCCGCUGGCGAUGGGUCUCAUUAUGUUUACAGAGCUGUCUGCUGAAUAAACUUUGAA
Long non-coding RNA from Pomacea canaliculata, 408 nucleotides. RefSeq lists it as uncharacterized. The transcript has 3 exons. The record is from RefSeq and is a predicted model, not a curated record. NCBI's taxonomy places the organism in Eukaryota, Metazoa, Mollusca, Gastropoda, Architaenioglossa, Ampullariidae.